Molecule: ribosomal RNA, 301 nt
Filed under: uncultured bacterium
Lineage: Bacteria
Description: partial 16S ribosomal RNA
Rfam family: Bacterial small subunit ribosomal RNA
Source: RNAcentral
CAGCCGCCGCGGUAAUACGUAGGGAGCGAGCGUUGUCCGUAAUUACUGGGCGUAAAGAGUUCGUAGGCGGUUUGUCGCGUCGUUCGUGAAAACUUGGGGCUUAACUCCAAGCGUGCGGGCGAUACGGGCAGACUUGAGUACUACAGGGGAGACUGGAAUUCCUGGUGUAGCGGUGAAAUGCGCAGAUAUCAGGAGGAACACCGGUGGCGAAGGCGGGUCUCUGGGUAGUAACUGACGCUGAGGAACGAAAGCGUGGGUAGCGAACAGGAUUAGAUACCCGUGUAGUCCCUGUCUCUUAUAU